Molecule: ribosomal RNA, 491 nt
Filed under: uncultured bacterium
Lineage: Bacteria
Description: partial 16S ribosomal RNA
Rfam family: Bacterial small subunit ribosomal RNA
Source: RNAcentral
GAUGAACGCUAGCGAUAGGCUUAACACAUGCAAGUCGAGGGGCAGCAUGGUCUUAGCUUGCUAAGACUGAUGGCGACCGGCGCACGGGUGCGUAACGCGUAUGCAACUUGCCUCACAGAGGGGGAUAACCCGUCGAAAGACGGACUAAUACCGCGUACACUCUAUUUUGGGCAUCCAAGGUAGAGGAAAUGAAAUUCGCUGUGAGAUAGGCAUGCGUCCCAUUAGCUAGUUGGUGAGGUAACGGCUCACCAAGGCGACGAUGGGUAGGGGAACUGAGAGGUUGAACCCCCACACUGGUACUGAGACACGGACCAGACUCCUACGGGAGGCAGCAGUGAGGAAUAUUGGUCAAUGGGCGAGGGCCUGAACCAGCCAAGUCGCGUGAAGGAUGACUGUCUUAUGGAUUGUAAACUUCUUUUGUAGGGGAAUAAAGAGGGGCACGUGUGCCCCAGUGAAUGUACCCUACGAAUAAGCAUCGGCUAACUCCGUGC